UGGGGAAUAUUGCACAAUGAGGGAAACCCUGAUGCAGCGACGCCGCGUGAAGGAUGAAGUAUUUCGGUAUGUAAACUUCUAUCAGCAGGGAAGAAAAUGACGGUACCUGACUAAGAAGCCCCGGCUAACUACGUG
RNAcentral lists this ribosomal RNA (135 nucleotides) under uncultured Eubacterium sp. RNAcentral's name for it is "partial 16S ribosomal RNA". It matches the Rfam family "Bacterial small subunit ribosomal RNA", at positions 355 to 507 of the family's 1533-position model. The record is from RNAcentral. Lineage: Bacteria; Bacillati; Bacillota; Clostridia; Eubacteriales; Eubacteriaceae.